UACGAAGGGGGCGAGCGUUGUUCGGAAUCACUGGGCGUAAAGGGCGCGUAGGCGGCCCUCCUUGUCGCGUGUGAAAGCCCCGGGCUCAACCUGGGAACGGCGCGCGAGACGGGGGGGCUGGAGUUCGGGAGAGGAGCGUGGAAUUCCCAGUGUAGAGGUGAAAUUCGUAGAUAUUGGGAAGAACACCGGUGGCGAAGGCGGCGCUCUGGACAGUUCCUGACGCUGAGGCACGAAGGCCAGGGGAGCAAACGGG
Molecule: ribosomal RNA, 253 nt
Filed under: uncultured bacterium
Lineage: Bacteria
Description: partial 16S ribosomal RNA
Rfam family: Bacterial small subunit ribosomal RNA
Source: RNAcentral